RNAcentral lists this ribosomal RNA (464 nucleotides) under uncultured bacterium. RNAcentral describes it as "partial 16S ribosomal RNA". It matches the Rfam family "Bacterial small subunit ribosomal RNA", at positions 339 to 795 of the family's 1533-position model. The record is from RNAcentral.
CUACGGGUCGCAGCAGUUAGGAAUAUUCGGCAAUGGGGGAAACCCUGACCGAGCAAUGCCGCGUGAGUGAUGAAGGUUCUAUGAAUUGUAAAACUCUGUUGUAUGGGAAGAAUGACUAAAAUAGGAAAUGAUUUUAGUUUGACGGUACCAUGCCAGAAAGUUCCGGCUAACUACGUGCCAGCAGCCGCGGUAAUACGUAGGGAGCGAGCGUUAUCCGAAUUUAUUGGGCGUAAAGGGUGCGUAGGCGGUCGAUUAAGUCUAAAAUUAAAGUCUGAGGCUCAACCUCAGUUCGUUUUAGAAACUGAUCAACUUGAAUAUAGUAGAGGCAAAUGGAAUUUCUAGUGUAGCGGUAAAAUGUGUAGAUAUUAGAAGGAACACCAGUGGCGAAGGCGAUUUGCUGGGCUAUUAUUGACGCUGAGGCACGAAAGCGUGGGGAGCAAAUAGGAUUAGAUACCCGGGUAGUC